Molecule: ribosomal RNA, 456 nt
Filed under: Triticum aestivum (bread wheat)
Lineage: Eukaryota; Viridiplantae; Streptophyta; Magnoliopsida; Poales; Poaceae
Description: partial small subunit ribosomal RNA
Source: RNAcentral
AUGGAUCGUAAUCAUGCGGCCAGAAACAGCGCACCCCUUCCCUUAUCUGCAGCACAUAUCCUUCUUCCUUCUCCAUCGCUCAGCUCCCCUGCCCCAUCCCCACAACUCCGUUCCCUGUCCUGCACCACCAGCGCCGCCGCAACUCCGGUCCCUGUCCCGCACCACUGCCUUCGCUGCUGUGACCCUCCUCCUCCUCCUCCUCCCCCCACCCCCUCGCCCUCAAUCUCCCUCCUCCCUUUUCCUUUCUCUGAUGGGCCACGGCUCGCCCUGAAUCCCGUGAUCCCCGACGACCAUCUCUCAUCGGAGAUGGACACGACGACAGGGGGAGCCCUGCGAUGCCGGAACCAGCAUCUAUUUUUGCUGCAACCUGCCGGCCAAAACGCUGGAACCGGUCCAGCUCAGAAGCUAAAAACGGACGAGACUAGAUGCUACGAGCGGCGAGGUGGAUCUCAGUGA